GUUCGUGACUGGGGUGAAGUCGUAACAAGGUAGCCGUAUCGGAAGGUGCGGCUGGAUCACCUCCUUU
RNAcentral lists this ribosomal RNA (67 nucleotides) under Staphylococcus aureus. RNAcentral describes it as "partial 16S ribosomal RNA". It matches the Rfam family "Bacterial small subunit ribosomal RNA", at positions 1467 to 1533 of the family's 1533-position model. The record is from RNAcentral. Lineage: Bacteria; Bacillati; Bacillota; Bacilli; Caryophanales; Staphylococcaceae.